UGAGCUUUCGCUCUCCAUCCACCAUGGCUGAACGCCACAGUCGCAGACCUGCCGUUGACUUUCAUCCCUCUGGAUUUGGCAGGGUGUCCACUGAGCUUCUGAUUCAGCGAGGUGCUCAUUGCUGCUCCCAAUCAGGCUAGAGGCUCGCCAUUGUUCCUGCACCGGGAAGUGCCCGGGUUCAUCCUAAUUAGGCUGAACACUAGUCUCUGGGUUCCAUGGUUCUCUUCCGUGACCCACAGCUUCUAAUAGAGCUAUAACACUUACCGCAUGGCCCAAGGUUCCAUUCCUUGGAAUCCCUGAGGCCAAGAACCCCACGUCAGAGAACAAAAGGCUUGCUGCCAUCUUGGGAGCAGCCGGCCCCAUCUUGGGAGUGGCCCACCACCAUCUUGGGAGCUCUAAGAACAAAGACCUGCUGGUAACACUAUCUCUGGCCACCUAUCUCUGGCCUAUCUAUCUCUGGUUCCUAUCUCUGGCCAUGGCUUGAGCCAUUUGGGUGCAGUGAACAGGAAACUGUAAAGAGUGACAGCCCUGCUUCUACAAAAUGGAUGCCAAGGUGCUAUAUCAAUGAUCAUGGGCCCUAUUUCCCCAUUCUACUUUCUUUAUGAUGGUGAGCCAAGAACAGGACACACACAAUGCCAAUGCAUUUGUAGUUGAUACUACAUUUGUGGUCUCAUGGAAAGAGCACAGGAUGCAGAAUUAGUAUGCACAGAGGUUACACCUCCUCCCUCCUUAAAUAGCACUUAGUGUAAUUGAUGCCAAGUUAAUCCCUGUGCUGCCAAGAGAAGUGUCCAUGGGGUAGGAACCGCAUGCUGUUUUACCUGUGCUUAAAGAGGAAAGUGUCACGCGUCUCUGAAGAAACAAUGUUGACUGAAAAAUAGCGCCAAGUCUCAAACAAGAUCUUUGUGAAAAAUAAAGCAUGAAGCACAAAAUGAGAGAGGUAGACUGGCAUGUGAGUCAGUAGACUGAGUGAAGAAGAUCUGCCUUCAGUGUGGGCAGGCAACAUCCAACUGGCUGGGGACCAGGAUGAAACAAAGGCAGAGGAAAGGAUUUCCUCUCGUUCCUUGAGCUGAGACACACUCUUCUGCUCCUGCCCUUGGACAUCAAGACCCACAGCUCUUCAGCCUUGGGACUCCAGGACUUAACAUCAGCAGUCCCAACUCCACCUAAGAAGGUUUUCAGGCCUUCAGCCUCAGACUGAGAGUUACACCAUUGAUUUCCCUGGUUCUGAAGCUUUUGGACCUGGACUGAGCCACUUUACCAGCAUCCCAAGGUCUCCAGUUUGCAGUUUGCAGAAGGCCUGUGAUGACUAAAACUGAGGCUUAGUUAUGCAAGUUGUCUCCAGUCACACAACUGAAGACUUUUUUAAAUAGCCAGAAGUGGUGAAUUUGACAGUAAAGGACAAGAAGAGAAAGUUCUCAGACCUGAACAGGAAAAAAUGGUGCCUGGACACUACAAACAAUCUUCAUGUGCACUGAUCGGACAAUAAGUGAAUGGGUAAAUUUCUUUUCUCUAUCCCAUAUUCUGAAUCUUCAUCAUUAAAUCACUGUAACUUUUGUAAUAUAAUAUUUAGUAAAAUUGUGUAUGCAGACAAGGACCCAACACACCCUAGAAAAGGCCCUGCAUUAGGGAACUGGGCUAUGGAAAGCAUUAUGUAUCUGUUUCUGCACUGUGUGGCUAUAUAAACUCUGACAAGAUUUUGUGACAUUGGCUCAAUACAUAAGGAACUUAAAUCUAAUGGCAGAUGAGUACAUGCUCUUUCUGUCAAUCCACAGACCACCUGAAAUGUUGCAUAAACUAGCGUCUCUUUUUAUUUAAUCAAUUUUAUUUUUUAGUGGUUUUAAGUUCACAGAAAAGUUCAGUGGAAAGUACAAAUAAUUCCCACAUAUUCCCUGCCCCCAUGCCACAACCUCCACAACUAUGAACAUACUUGCACCACAGUGGCACAUUUGUUACCAGUGAUGCACCUUCUCACACAUCAUCACCUAAAGUUUAUAGUUUACAUUAGAGUUCACUCUUGGUGUUGUAACAAACGGAUUUUAACAAAUGGAUCAUGACACGAUCUACUCUUGUAGUAUCACACAGAAUAAUUUAACUGGCCUGAAAAUCUCCUGUGUUCCACCAUCCUCCCUAGCCACCCAACCUAUAGCAAUAAUUUAUCUUUUUCCAGUCUCUAUUGUUUUGCCUUUUCCACAGUAUCAUAUAGUGGAAAUCAUUCAGUAUGUAGCUUUUUCAGAUCUUUCACUCUGUAAUAUGCAUUUAACGUUACCCCAUGUCUUUUCAUGACUUGAUGGUUUAUUCCUUUUUAGCACUAAAUAAUAUUCCAUUGUCUGAAUAUAUUAGUUCAUUUAUUCAUUUGCAUAUUGGUUACUUCCAAGUUUUGGAAAUUAUGAAUUGAGCUGCUAUAAACAUUCAUGUGCAAGUUUUGUAUGAACAUAAGUUUUCACAUCAUAUGGGUAAAUAUUAAGGAGUGUGAUUUGCUAGGUUAUACGGUAAGAGUAUGCUUAAUUGUUGUUUUUAUGUAAAGAUGGAGUCUUGCUCUGUCACCCAGGCUGGAGAGUAGUGGUACAAUCAUGGUUCACUGCAGUCUCAAACGCCUGAGUUCAAGCGAUCCUCCUCCCUCAGCCUCCCAAGUAGCUGGGACUACAGGCACACACCACCAUGCCUGGCUAAUUUUUUCAAUUUAUUUUUUGUAGAGACAGGGUAUUGCUAUAUUUCCCAGGCUCGUCUCAAAUUCCUGGUGUCAAAUGAUCCUCCCACAGUGUUGGGAUUACAGGUGUGAGGUAUAUGCUUAGUUUUUUAAGAAACUGCCAAACUGUCUCCCAAAGCAUCUAUACCAUUUUGUAUUCCCACCAGUAAUGAAUGAGAGUCUCAGCUGCUCCAUGUCCUCAACAGGAUUUGGUAUUUCUUUAAAAAAGUAAUUAACAAAAUAUCUGUAUUUGAAAAGUGUCUUAAAUAAUACUGUACAUAUGUUUGGUGACUAAUAUAUAUGUACUGAAUAAAACUAUAAUACUCUAACUGAUGGAUACACAGCAUAUAUUAUUCUUGUAUCUUUUCCUAGAAAGCCUUGGGCUACUCUAAAUCUGUAAUACGUAUUUCAACUUCUCUACUUACAUGUACUAUAUUAUAGCAAUUUCUAUUGAGUUAUAAUCCAUAUUCACUCUCCUGAUUUGCUAAAGUCACAGAGGCUUUCAUCCCUAGUUUCUAAAGUGCUAAUACUAGUUUUUUCAGGCUUGUUUUUAACUUUUAUUUUAAGUUCAGGGGUACAUAUGCAGGUUUGUUACAUAGGUUAAUUGUGUAUCAUGGGGAUCUAAUGUACAGAUUAUUUCAUCACCCAGGUAAUAGGCAUAGUAUCCAAUAGGUAGGAGUUGAUUUUUUGUAUAACGUGUAAGGAAGAGGUCCAGUUUCGAUUUUCUGUAUAUGGCUAGCCAUUUACCCUAGCAUCAUUUAUUGAAUACAGAGUCCUUUCCUCAUUGCUUGUUUUUUGUUGACUUUGUCAAAGAUCAGAUGAUGUUAGCUGUACAGCUUUAUUUUUGGGCUCUCCAUUCUGUCGUAUUGGUCUAUUAUCUGUUUUUGUACCAGUACUAUGCUGUUUUGGUUACUGUAGCCUUGUAAUAACAGUUUGAAGUUGGGUUAACAUGAUGCCUCUAGCUUUGUUCUUUUUGUUUAUGAUUGCCUUGGCUAUUCAAACUCUUUUUUGGUUCCAUAUGAAUUUUAAAAUAGUUUUUCCUAAUUCUAAUUCCUUCCCAAUUCAAGCAGUUUCCCAGCUUCCCUGUCACAUCCUUGGGUAAUUUCCCACUGCCACUCACCGCAUACUAGACAUAAUUAAAUAUUUUAAUGUGCACUCACUGUUUUUUUUAUGGAGUACAGAGUAUA
This 3873-nucleotide long non-coding RNA is filed under the name Homo sapiens (human). RNAcentral's name for it is "HSALNT0058639". Lineage: Eukaryota; Metazoa; Chordata; Mammalia; Primates; Hominidae. The record is from RNAcentral.